CCUUAAGUCUAUUAAGGGAAGAUGAUAAAACCUAGUUGCUGAAAGAACAGAGGUUACCAUAAACCUCACAGAGUGUUGCCACUGGAGGAAGUUGACAUUUCAGUGCUCAGGCUUUUCAGACUCCUUUGCAGUGCACUGGGAAACAUUGUCCAAUGUCACCGAUGGUCAGGGACACCAGUGGAAAAACAAAAAGGUUGUAACACAGGACUCAAAUGCACGUUCAGAAACAUAUGUUAUUCUUAUCCAUAUCAUUUGUUUGGGUUUUCUUAACUGUAGGCUUUCUACUACUUUUUAUGCACCGAACUGUUACGAUUAGUUAAAUAGCUAUAUGCUGGCUCUGGAAAGAGUACACUGAAAUUAUUUGCAUGGAUACAUUACCUUUGAUCUCUCACACAACCAUCUUUAAAUUUAGAGUUUUUACUACUUGCUCAAGAAUUCAGAAAAAUAAAAAAAAUAUUUUCUUAAGCCAAAGCAGUGCUGCAGUGUGCAGUAUAAAAAAUUGGUGAUUUAAUAGGUGUCCAAGAGCAAAUUGUUUUAUUUCUUUCUGCCUCAAGCAAAGCUUGUAGGAGCUAGUAAGGAGCCACAGUUAGAAGAUAUUUGAGUGUUGAGAAAUGGGGUUCACUCUUCUGCUACAUGAUGAUCUGAAAACCCCAUCAUAGUGGAUUGAAAUAUUUGGUUUGUAUUUUUCAGUUUGGACAGACAGAGCUCCAUUUGUGAGUGUUCCCUGAUAUUUGUCUUUUAUUUGAGAGCUAAUGGGCUUAUUUUCUCUUUUCAAUGAACACAUGUACUGUUCAUCCCAAUUAGAAUGAGGAGAUAUAAAACACUUGAUUUUUUUUUUCCUUCCUAUUCAGCUCUCUCGUGUUUCAUAAUUUGUGUUCCAUUUCUUGGACACUGUUAUAUGAAGAGCCAUUUUGGUUGCUACUUUCAGGAUGAGAAGACUCGAGAGAGUGUGGCAGAGAAAAAUAAUGACGAGGAAAAACACAAUUCCUGCCUCUUGAACAUACUAGAAAAAUCUUUUUGGCUGUGGUAAAUAGCUGUGUUUCCUAGCUUCAUCUCUGCAUAAUUAAAUCCAAAUUCUUAAAAAUGGAUGUGCUCAUUUGAGUCACUUAUUUUAAAAAUAAAAUCAGAGAUAGUAGAGAUGUGGUUUUGGAGUCCAAACUUAAGCUUUUAAAGCAUUAGUAACUGUAGGGUUGAUACAUUAUAUGGUUUUGCUUUCAAAAAAAGACAAGGGGAAGGGCUUUGUCUUGACCUCUGAGUGUUAAAUAGAACCUUUCUCUUGGUAAAGACAGCCCCAUUUUCAGAGCUGUUUUGUGUCCAUCUUUGUACACCAGCAGCUCCAAUCUGUGACUCAGUCUCUGGAGCAGCACUGCCAUGUCAUUUAAGUACCUUAGGGAGACCUGCAGAGUGGAAAUGGUCUUUGAUAGCCUAGCUCAUUUUUGGCUUUUUGAAUUCUUUUCCUUCCCCUUAAUACUUCUGUAAUUGUCAGUAGGAAUAAUCUUCCAUGUGCCAGGAGCUCUGCCUUGAGAGCAGUGUCAUGAAGUUGCUGGGGUUUUUUUGGUGUGCUCCCCAUCAGUGGCCUGGGCAAGCAAAGCAGUGAAAGGUUCUGGGUUUCUUUUGCUGCUAGUAGUGACUUUUUUUUUUUCUUUAAGCAAGGUAACUAUUUUCACCUCCUCCUUAUGAAAAGACACAACGUGAAGCUGCUUGUCUUCCAGCUGCAACAACAUUCAUAAGAGAUUUUAAUACAACAAGCUCUGUCACUGGUGUUCUGAAGUUUUCCUGGAAUUUCAUGGGUGUCUGAAUGCAAAUUUAUUCUUCCCCCCCUCUUUUUUUUUCCUGUUUGAAGGUUAGUUUUCUUUAGGGUAUCACUUCAUUCCUGCCAAUCUGAUAAAGCUAACUUAAUUAAAAAUAUUACCAUUAGAUCAUACAGUUCUCUUUAUUAGUUUAGUCCAUGGGGCUCCUUUUCCACUGGGAAAUUAUUUACUUCAGAAGUUGCGAGAGUAGCCUUGGCUGGCUUUGUUUAAUGCAGCUGCUUUAAAGCUUUCCAUCAGAUUAAUGUUUUUCCAGGUCUUUUCUUGCAGGUACACUGUUACUCAGAGAUAACUGUGAUUGCUCAGAUCUGUGGCAGUUGCUGCAGAGCAGUGCUGGGAUUGGAGGGCUUUAUGGCAAAGCAGACACAAGGAUUUGUUUUGGAUGGUUGAUUAUUUACCCCUUUUCUCUUCUCCUUUUCUUCCCCUCUUCCCUGUGCCCCCAACCCAUAUUUUUUCUUUCCAAGUGAAAAAGUCGUGUUUUGCUGUGUGGACUGUUGGAAGUAUUUAUUUUCUGCUCCAAGGAUUUUUUUGGCUUUACUUGGCAGGGAGAGGGGGGACUGCUAAAGAGCCUAUCCUCUCUUUCUCACGAGCAGUUUUAAGCAAUAACAUUGACAGCUUGUUUAGCUGGAGGUCUGGUCUGCAGGCUUGUAUUUAUACUUCCUAUUCCUUGUGUUGUGGAGGAGCCAUACUGUAGUGGAUGCUGGAAGCAACCUGAAUGUCAUAUGUCAUAUCAUCUGCAGGUACAGAGUGGAGGAGCAGAGCAGAGCAGUGUGUACAUUUUGUGCUCCAAAACACUUGGGAUGUGACCUCAAGCAGGCGAUUUCACCUCCCUUCUGGUGUUGCACUUUCCAUCUUGUAUCUGAUGUUCCUUAUCCUGGCAUGAUCCUUGAUAGCUGUUCAGACCUCAGGACUACUCUGGUGCAACUAAUAGGUGGCAGUGGAACUCAUAUUACAUAUUGGUUUGAUAUACUUAAUUCUUUCAGCACAGACACGUUUUUGUCUUUGCUACCGGUGGAUUUAAUAUAGAAUUGAAGUUGUUGGUUUUUGUGAAAUACUUUUAAAACCCUCAUACAGACUGGAUAAACUGCCUUCAGUGCACAGGCCUAUAGAAGUGAAUUGGCAGUGGGGUUCUGAGUGCUGUUGUAGCCUGGGCAGCCCCACAGUCUGGGCAGUGGAGAGCAGGAACAAGCUGCAGGCCUGAAGGCAUCACUGGCCACAGCUCAGGACUCAUUGCUAACCUGCUCAGUAAUGAUGUUUCGUUGGAGGCCUUUGACAUGGGACUGUUUUUCCCCAGCGUCUGUCUGUGACCUGAUUACCUACAUGUCUGCAUUAGUCUGUACAAGAAUUAAUAUUGCUUGCGCUCAAACACUGUUUUAAGCUGAUCUCCGAAUGUUGAAUCCAUCCUUGAGGCCAAAUCCUCUUCUCCAAAGACUAGCAGUCCUACUGAAGCAAAAGUGAGGAGGCUUUCUCCCCCUCAUGUAGCCUGUUUUAUUUUCAUGGGAAGUGACUGCCUUAGCUUAGGCCAUGCUUAAUGCUUACAUGCAAGCGGCGUUAUUUUUCAAAAUGCUCCCUCCCUCAUAAUUAAAAUUCAUGAACAGUUCCCCGGAGAGCCACCUGAGGUAACAGAGUCUUUUCAGUGCGCCAUUAAUAUACAGGAACACUGAAUACAGGCAUUUGGCUGUGUUCACUCUUCCUCACUCUUCCCUGGCUGGCCGCCUGUAUGUGUUGUGGAACAACAAAACUGAAAUCUGGACAAUUUAUAUUUCAGCAGUGAUGGGAUAUUCUCUCUUUCCCUGUCACUUCACAUUAAGGACCUGCCACUAAUAAAACUAAUUAAUAACUCUUGGCUCCACACAGAACCCUUGGACUCCCCAGUGCUGGCUCUGUGCCACAGUAGCUUUUGAAAGAAGUGCUUCAUCUUAGUCAGGGACAGGAUGAAUAUUUCUGUGCAGUUCUAAUUGGACCAAGUGCCUCGGCAGUUCAAAGGCAGCGGCUUAGCAGGCUGCAGAUCUCUAGGUAGGAUCUGCUUUCACAGCCUCCCAGCCAGGGCACUGGUGUGGCUGGUCUGGGGCUGUGAGGGGGCAGGAGGAGGUGCAGAGCUGGUCCGUGCUGUGGGGCUGUGCCCGCACCCCGGGCACUGGGGGAGGUGUGUCCCACACCUGGACAGCACAGCACGUGGAGGCUGCGUGGUUCCUCACUUGAAAUCCUGUCAAAUGGAUCCUUUGGGCUGUUUUAAAACCAUUUGAUGAAAUGAUAGAGACUGCACUGACCAAAUGACAGCCUUGCUGAAAAGUUCCCUCUCCACGGGAGGCUUUGUUGGCGUUGUGAUGCCACUUGUGGGCGUAUUUUGGUUUCUUUCUUCUCGCUGCUGACAUAACUGUGCCAAUGAAAUUUUGUAGUAUAGGCUGGUCUGGGUUACAUAAAAAUAUUGUUCUGUCUUCUACUCUCACUGCUCUCUUUCCCUUUAGAAAUACUAUUUGCUUGCACACUCUAGCUUUGAGACCCUUUCCACUGCUGUAUUUCUGUUCGAGUGAAGGAAGCAGGCCCUGGUGGGACAUCAUGGUAUGUGUGUUUAUUCACGACCAGAUCUUUAUAAACAAGAGUGUUCUGUCUGAUACAUGUGCAGGACUUUCUACAGGCAUUUGUUCCUGCCCAGGCAGCUGCAGUUCUUUUUUGACACCACCUUCCAAUACAUGUUUCAUUCUGAAGGGACAACACUAUAAGGAAUAUAGUUGGAAAGAAGUUGGCCAGAGAAUUUCUGUUUUAAAAAAUUUAAUGAAAAACAUUGAUGUGGACGUAUGUAAAGGAAACAAAUGGCAAGCAGCAAGCUCUUUUGUAUUUUUUUUGACCUGACAAAAAACUGUAUGACCCCUUACCACCAUGCUCCUGAACUUUCUCCGAGUGCCUCUUUGUAAUUGGUGCUAAUUUUUCAGGCUAAGCUGUUUUUCAGGAAUGGAGAAGGCUUCAAGCUUAAUUAAAACAACUGAGUAGGUUCAUAGCUGGAAAUAUCAAGCAUUGAUUUUAAUAUCCCACAAUGUAUCAAGCAAAUGAGUACCUUUUCUUCAUCACACCCACCAGUUUACUGUCAACAUAAGACACUACUCAUUUAUUGCUAUUAAUUUGUUAUGGCUGCGGAUACUGCUUUACUGACAAAGGUGGAUUCUCUGGCAGAACUUGUUCUGUGAGUAAAAUGAAGCUGCAGGAGGUGGCAGAUGCUGGAUUGAAGGUGGAGAAGGUUGGCAGUGGUGAGAGCACCCACAAACUGGGUGCCUUGUUGAGACUAAGGCUUUCAUAACUCGUGUGUGUCCAUGGUGCUGCAGUGUUUAAUCUGCAUUCCAUGCUAGAAGAAGAAGGGGUGCUUCUGAUUAACUGAAAUAAUGUCUCUGUUGGCAGAAGAAAUAUAUUGACAAAUAUAAUAUGAAGUUGCAGUUUUUUCAGGUUCUCUGUCCUGUUCAUUGUGGAGAAGGUAAAAGGUGUGAAGUGAGUCCAAUUUUUUUAUGAUGAUGUAGUGCCACUGACUCCACUGUCACUGCCCUGGAAUUACACCAGUGAAACUAUACAGAAGAAUUUGCCUCCUGGUCUCGUUGCCAAGUAAACUUAAAAGUGUCAGUAUUAAAUUACUGAGGAGCAGCCCCUUGCUCUGCAGGUCCCAGAGAAGUAUUAAAAUCCAUGUUGUACUGUCAGAGGAGAGUCCCCAGCUCCCAGCUGUAUGCUUUUCCUAGUCUCAUUCUUCCAACAGUUCUCCUUGACAUUGCAUUUUAAUCCUUUCCAGCAGAACAGCCAGUUGGCAGCCUCAUGGUCUCAGAAAAUAUAGUAGUUGUCUCUUCCCCCCCAGCAUGAAAAAGGAGGAAGGUUGGCCGGAAUUAUAACUGGUAACUUCAGUUCCCUCAUUACUGAAAAAGCUUUCAACUCCUGCCAUCUCCUUCAAUUUUCGUGGGGAUGUCAGGAAUAAGAACACGGCCCAGCACAAGUGUGUGUUUCUCUCCAGCUCUCUUGCACCGAGCUGUUUUCAGUUACUUACUUGGGAAGUCAGAGCUGAUGUGCAAGUGUGGGAUCUGCAAGACCCUCCGAUUCUCCUGGGAUUUGCUGUUCCCUUUAUAUCUGUUGCUGCCCCUCCACCUUUGUGUUCCUGUUUGUGGAUGAUUUUUGGUAAUAAAAGGGCUGCGUUUUUCCUGUUGAACAACAGUUGCCUUCACAGAAAUAGUUAAGCUGGGGCUGUCUUUACUCAUCGUUCUUUGCAAUCAAAUCCAGUUUUCUGGGGCAAAAAAAUAGUUUGUUUCUUAGCUUAAAGACUUUUUUUUUUCUUUUUUAAAUGAUAUUUUGUUUGGUUUUUUUAAAGGUGUAAUCCACAAUGGUGCUGUUGGAGGAAGGCAGGUGCUGGUUUAUUAAGUUCCCCCUGUGCUGCACAUCAGGGUGUAGCAGAGGAAGGCAGGACAAUGCUGCCAGAGAUCAGCAGUGCAGGAGAGCUGUCUUGGGGAGCUUGAGGAUUGGGAGAGAGCAUCAGAGGAACUUCAGGUGACAAAAUGACUGGGCGUUUCACAGCACCCAAGCAAGCUUGGUUAUGUAGAUUACAGGAGUGAGAAAUCAGAUUUAGGUUGGGCACAGGUACUGCUGAAAGCAGAGCUGUUAUUGGGCAUGAGUUUUGCAGAGCUGUUCUUGUAAUGAGAGGCCUUUGUUUCAGGGGUUUGAACUGUCGUGUCCUUUUUUCUGCUGUUGAGAUGUUUUUGUUCCAAGGUUAUUCCCUCUACAACCACGUUUUGAUACCAUUAUUUUCGUUUAGAAGAAGGGUACUUUCAGUCAGAAUUUAGCAUGUGAAUGGCUUCUUAUGUGGAGGUUUUGUCUCUUCCCCAAUUUUUGUGCAAGCUCUUUUUAAGGGAAGCAUGACAUGGGUGCAGCUUCAGAAGUGCCUCCAUGUCCUUCAGGUUCCAACCCCUCUGCUGGAAAAUGUGCUCAGGGGAGCAGGGAACAGAGAACGGGUCUGCAGCCACACAGGGAAUCCUUUUACACACACAGUUGUUGAAAAAGAAUGUAAAAAUCGAGGAGGAUGUUUCAGUGAGUCAGAAGCUGAAAUGGAAAAGAAAAUUGAAAUACUACUUAGUGCUCCAAUUUGGCAUGCAGGGGAUAUUCUAAAAUAUCUUGUUGGUUCUGUUAUUGUCGUAGCUUUAUUUCGGAAGUUAGGAAAAAUAAUAAUUUAGAGCCUAGUCUCCUGUAAGUAUGCCUGUUUAAAAGCUUACUUGUUCAAAGAGAUUAUUUAUUUGACUGGGUUUGGGUGGCUCUAGAACAUUGUUCAGUGCUGAGCUUAUUUACCAUUUAAACUUAUAUUGAAUUAUGGUGUUUGGAAGGUGCAUACCAUUUUGCAUCUGUCUCAUAUUUUUGGCUGUUCACUCUCUAAUGAAAUAGCAGUGCAGGCUUUGAUUCCUGUGCAUUUUUUAUAUAUAAGAAUCCUUCUCGGCUUCUGCUUCAUUGUAAGGUUCAUUUGUCAAAAAAUAAAAUAGUUCUUGGUUCUGAUACUUUUGAUGAUGUUAUCAAUAUACAGUGCUGUCUAUAUUGUCUAAACAAGUUGUGCAUGAAAUAAAAAAACAGUUAUAUAUCAGGAGGUGAGGUUUUUAUGAAGUCAUUGCCUUGGGGAUCUUCUUUCCUGUGUUGGGUUCAUGCCAUACACUUCAUAGAAAAAAUACAUCAUUUAUUGGUAACUGUGAAUGUGUUGGAUAUAACUACUUUAUUUUAAGUUGGAGGUUAUGAUAUGUUAGGAUUUUGAUAUUACAGAAAUUGGGAAGAUCACCUGAAAGUUGUAGGGUUUUGUACUUGCCAAAAAGUUCCUGCAUUUCCUCUGAGUUUUCCAUUGGCAGCUAUUAGCACUGGAAAUUUCCUGUAUUUUACAAUGUUGUGAACCUCUCAGUCUCUCUGUGAUUUCCAGGUAAUAUUCUGCAUGGCUGUGCAGACACAAAAGGUGUGAUUUACCUGGUGGGGUUUGAUAGUGUCAGCUCUGCUCCACCAUUAGAUUUGUCAGAGCCUUGGUGUGAAAGUGCUUGUGCACUCGUGUUUUCUUACACAAGUUAAUUAAAUAAGGAUUUAUGACUCCUGAUUUAUUCCCAGAAGCACUUCAUAUAAAUGCAGUACGGGAAUAAUCUGUUGAUAGCCUCUCUUGGUGGUGAUGAAGGGUUUAAGUAAUGUGUAUUUGCAAACAGAACAAGUUCCAGCAUGUUCAUCUUCAUGCUGAACAGGACAGGGAUAAGGCUGGCAGGGAUAGAGCUCAAUUUGAAAAGAGCACUUUCAGAAGAGAGGCUAUGAAAAGCAGGACUGUGGUGGUCCUGAAAAGCACAGUCAGGCUAUUUGCAGGUACUUCAGUGUGGUAUCUAGCAGGUUAUCACUAAUGACAACAAAUGUACAGUAUUUUUUUGUGUGUACGAGUUCUUGCAACAUUAAGAAUAGUGCAAAAAGAUCCUUGGUAGUGUAUGAUAUAUGGUAAACAACAUAAAGCCUGCAUGUAAAACCUGCAUAGUGAUUUUUAUCUUAAACUGCCUUUCAAGUGUUCAUAAUAAAUCUCCUAGUAAUAAAAUCAAAUUUGAAUCUAAAACUAGGGGCAGAUCUCAUGUUACUUCCUUGACUGAAGACUGGUAGUCCAAGUGGAUUGCCUGGCUAGGGAAGUCUCACUCCCACUGAUGACCAGAUGCUGAGGAAGGCUGCUGGGAAAAGUAUAACUGCAUUUCAGCCCCAUUUCUUAUCCUUUAUAGUACUUGUCACUGGAAAUCUCACAAAAUGGCUUCUUAGCAUUCCCUUACAUAGAAUUGUUUGCAGAAAUCCUCUUGCCCCAAAUGGUCUGGUUUCCCAAACACUUUAUGGAAGAGCUCAAGAGUCCUCUGCUGCAGCCAGAGAGUAACAAAAUACCCUUCUGGUAUACUGGUUUUUGCCAUCCUGUGGUACACCUGUUGUUUAGGGCAUGAAGAUACCUGAGAAAAGGAUGUCUGUCUUAAGACCCAAAUGCUUAAUACUCUGUUUCUCUGUCAGAAAUUUGGACUAACUUAGUGUGAUUCCUUUUAUAGGCUAUCGCUCCUCUCCUUCCUUUUGGUUUUUUCUUUUCCUGGGGAAAGAAAAUAUUCAGAUGUCUGCAGUGUGUAUUGUUCUCACAAGAUCCUACAGAGGCUAAAUGGUCUCUUGUGCAAAGCUUAAAAUCCUAAUGUGCAGUUUGCCACAAUAUGCUAAUGUGUUCGUGCUUCUUUGGGACAGGUUUAUAUCUAAAUACCUCACAGCAGUGCUGUAAUGGUAUUGAUGAGAUUCAGGAUGUGUUGGGGAACUUCCUUCUUUUCCUCUGGUACUUGAUGCAAUUCCAGGUACAACUCUGACACUAGAAAAGUUUUAGGACAACAGUUGUUUCUUUAAAAAUGCCACAUACCCAGAAAGGGCUUUGGCCAGUGGCUGUGUUAUGUCACUGGCUGAACUAUUUUUUUUUUACUUCCUCAUUUGUGCAGUAAUUUAAAGGAGAAUUGGAAUUUAUUCACCAAUCUUGAAUUCUGACACAUUCAGUCUAAGAGUAAAAUUCAUGAAAAGAAGUUUCCUGUUUUUUAAUCAGUAUGGAGUAAUGUUCAGCUUUGUACAGACUUUUUAAAGUUAUUUCCUUAUGUAGGACUUUUUUUUUUCUUAAUUCAAACUUCUAAGUACUUUUCAAUGGACUUUUUAAGCUUAGGUCUUUUUAAGCAUCUGGUAUUUAGCACUUGAAGGACUACUUCACUUUCCAUUUUGCAGGCAAGUUUUUAAAAGCUUUUGCAUGUGUUUGCUUUUGGCUGAUUUGUUGUCUAGAUUUUUAGAAAUCUUUUCUGGUGGAAACAUCCUGUAAGUCUGUUUUACCACCUCGAAGCUGUCUCUGCAGGCAGAUAGGUUUAUGUUAAGACUGAAGUCCAUUCUGUAACUCCUCCUUCCCUUCAUCUAUUAUGUAAAAAGGAUAAAUAAUGUAGUUGAGUUCUCGUGUCUGCCUUAUACAUCAGGCCAUCCCUGGCUGGUUGGAGUCCUGGCCCUCCUGCAGGACAGAAUUGCACCAGAAUAACCCACUCUGCUCUCAGGGCACAGAGCUGGUGCUGCCUGACAGAGGCAUUUGGACAUCACACCUAUUUUCUAUGAAGACUUUUUGUCUUCCUGGGACACAGGGACUGUGAUGACCUCUUUUCAACUUGCUGGUUUCCCACGGUGUGGAGGGGAUGACUGGAAGAGCAGCUGAAAUGAAAGAAAAGAGGCUUCUGCUGCCAUUUGCUGAACAGACUGCUUUGCAGGCACAUGUUAGAGCUGAGAAAAAGCAAAGGAAGGAGGAACUGGGGAAGUGUGGAGGGGAGGUGGAGUCUGGGGAAGGAGAGAAAGGCUCCUUGCUCACCAUUCAAGCUCUACUCCCAGUGGAAAGGUGCAGUUCCCCAUUGUGCUGUGAUUUCCCCCCGCCCCAAACACCCCCUAACAACAGAGAUGUUGCUGAAAGCAUGCAAAUGCUUGCAGUGGGGCUGUAGCCCUAAUAAAGUCUGUGUGAAUGUCUGGAGUUUCACGUGAGGUAAAGAAUGAGAAAACUGUCAUGGGGCCAUUACUAACAUGUGGCAGGUUGCUGUGUGAAGCUUGGCAGUAAUUAUUUUCUCCUUUAGAUGGAGGCUCUUUGAGCACAGUCCUAGAACCAGGUUUGCUUUGUUUAUGGGAGUGAUUCAACUUGCCUGGAGCAGCUCUUCCACCUGCCUACUGGGUUUCUCUAGUGCCAUUUUCCCCUCUUAUCAAUCCUUCCAAAAUCUGUCUUCUGGAGUGCCUGUUUUACAGGAUAUGCUGCCUCCUCACCUGUGUCAACCCAAGCUGAAGAGAUACACAGUCUUUUCAAAGUACCACCUUGCAAGCCUUCUUUUUCAGCAUUAAAUUGGAGUACAUGUGUCAAACAACACAGGGGUAGAUAAUGCUGCAUUAUUGCAUUGUAUUGGUGGUUUGAUGGUGGCAACUCUUGUUAAAGCAAUGAAAGAAGUGGGCAGAGGUUCUGUCGAUGGUGCAGCAGGAACAGGCUCUUGUGGGGGGGGGAGUUCUCAGUAGCCUCGUGCUGAACAGUUGAUUUUGGCCCACUGAGGGUUCAUGCUGUGCCCCUUUAGAAACAGCUCCCUCCUUUCCCUAAAGACAACAGGAUGAACAUUUCAAGCUGAUGCAACUUAAGUGAGAUGGGGAUUAUCUUGCUAUGAAGCAAGUUAAUUGUGAAUUUAAAAGAUACUCCAGUGGUCAUUUUUGGGCCUAAGUUCUUUAAAGUAUCUUGACAUUCACUGGAGGAGAUAAUGUGCUUUUUCUAGAAGACACUUUCUGAGCCUACCUAGUGAUUCUGUCAUAUAUUCACCAGCUUUAAACAUUUGCUCUGAAAUGUUUCAUAUUUAGUAUAGGGCUAUGAAUAUGAAAACAUGGUAUUUCAGAGUUUUGGGGGAAGUUUUAAACAUGGGCUUCUACAUGUUAGAUUUCCCUCUGCAUAGAUGAUGAUUUAAGUUUUUUUCUUUUAAAUUAAAGACAACCCCCCUGAACUCUAAACUUUAUAUAACAUCUAGGAACACAUUUGUCUUUUCCUGUGGUGUAAGUGAGAAUGUAUAUGCCUAUAUAAAUAUAUACUGGCACAUGUUUUUUUGCCUUCAAAAUGGCUUGUGGGCCAUCAGUGAACAGACUGCUCAGUUACUAUGCUUGGAUUGCUUAUUUAAUACUUCCAAAUUUAAAUAUUUUCUGUGUUGGUUUGUUGCAAAAAAAUGCAGUCAGAAAUUAAACCUGGCAAUUUAUUUUUCUGCAGCAGAAUUGCUCAUUGGGUGAAACAUGUAUUUCUCCAACAAAUGGUGGCUUUCUCCUGUACUACAGACAUUCCAGUGCCUGUGAUGUAAGUAGGAGCAGUAAGGACAUUGAAUGGGAAAUACCUUCAUUGUAGUGUCUUGGGAUAAGAAAAUGUAAUUCUGGUGUAGCAGAGGAGUUUGAUUCUUUAUUGUGAGGGUGGGGAGGCCCUGGCACAGGUUGCCCAGAGAAGCUGUGAAUUCCUCAUCCCUGGAAGUGUCCAAGACCAGGUUGGAGGGGGCUUGGAGCAACCUGGGCUAGUGGAAGGUGUCCCUGCCCAUGGCAGGGGGUUGGAACAAGAUGAGCUUUAAGGUCCUUUCCAACCCAAACCUUAUUAUAAUUCUAUGAUUUAUUUUUUUUUAAAUAUGGAAGUGCAAAUUAAUGUGCUUGUAAUGGAUGUAAUGGGAUGAGCUGGUUCACUGGAAUUGGGUACAGUGCAGACUCCUGCUGUUUCUCCAAGUUGGUACUGAAGUAAUGUUUUAUUAAUGUAAAUAAAUAAUAUUCUCCAGUAUUACAGAACAUCCCACGAGCUUUAUAGGCAAUAGAGGUUCUUGAUCUGAAAAUGCCCUCUCUGAUAAGCUUUCAUACAUCUAAGGCAGACCAGCUUCUGUCAUAGGUCACCUCAUUUGCUAAUGACUCAGAAUUCAGAUCAGGUAUUUGCAGUCAAAUUAACAUGCAGAAAGAGUAUUUCUGAAGGUGUUUUUCUCUAGAAAAAGAAAGGGCAGAAUUCAGACUAACAUUUAGAAAUGAAAACCACUCUUAGUCCCAUGGCAUUGGUUGCUACAGGGAAUAUGGAAAAAGGGUGAAUAAUAAAUACAAUGGAAGUAGUAUGCUUGGAGAUGGGGGCCAGUUAUGGCCUCAGAAUUAUUUGGACAGUCUGAGCUUCCAAAGGCAAAAAUAGGGGAGCAGCAGAUUACAUCUCUCCAUUUGGUGGAAGCAGGAAGGUCAGGGAUGGUGCAAGGAGUGUUUGCAUGGAGAUAGAAGGAAGGAACAAUGGCUGGGGGGAAAAAAGGAAUAAAAGGGUUAUGAUUCUGGUGAGAUUUACAGGGAAUCUGUUCUUCAGGUGACUUAGGCCGUUUAGUGGAGAGCCUGUGAGGAGAGAGAAGCAUUCCCAGCGUUGAUCUGUUCCCUGCCAUCUGGAUGGUGGCUGUUAUCUCAUGCUGUUCCUUUGUGCUGGUUUGUUUGGUGCCCCAGAUUGAUCAGCUCAAAGCUCAUUUCAAAAUACAUCCCCAGUGUUCACAACACGUUUAUUCUUAUGUGAUAAUUACUGGUGCAGAAGAAAAGUUUGUGAAUUUUGUUUCUUUCCAGCUGGAAGACGUUUCCAGCCGUUACAGUGAACAAUGCCACCAGAUGCUACCAUCUUCCCAUCUCCUCCCCCCAGUGCCUCAGCAAGACAAAGCCCUGUUAGGGCUUCAGAUCACCUGUGCAGCUGCUCAGAACGUGAAGGACGGUGGUGACCCAGCAACAGGAGAGGAAACAAAGUGAGCACUGAAACUGUUCAUCACUGUGGUACUUUGUUAAUGAUUCUUCUGGGUAGCAGCAAUAAUGAGCAGUUGGAAGAAGUACUUUAUGUACCCUAAAUAAAUUGCUUCCAAACCUCGUAA
Long non-coding RNA from Pseudopipra pipra, 13219 nucleotides. RefSeq lists it as uncharacterized. The transcript is spliced from 2 exons. Lineage: Eukaryota; Metazoa; Chordata; Aves; Passeriformes; Pipridae. The record is from RefSeq and is a predicted model, not a curated record.